Molecule: long non-coding RNA, 2130 nt
Organism: Wasmannia auropunctata (little fire ant)
Lineage: Eukaryota; Metazoa; Arthropoda; Insecta; Hymenoptera; Formicidae
Exons: 2
Source: RefSeq, a predicted model, not a curated record
AAAGAACAAAAAAAAUAUUCACUUAUUUGUUGUUUGAGUUGACAUGAAAUUGUCAAUACUUAAAUAAAUCGCAGUAAUUGCAGAAAGCACAUUACGGAUUCAUUUCAAUUUACAAUUAUGGUUACAAAUGUCAUAAUUACAAAUGUCAAAAGUACAAUUAUGACAUAAAAUUGCUAUGAAUACUGAUGAAGUUCAUAUCUUUCCUCUUUUGCCAUUUACAAGAGUUUCAAAGUUUACGAUUCUCUAUACAAACGUUAUUCUAUAAAUCUUUGCGAUAGACCCUCGCAGCAGAUUGCGAAAAAUAUGGAUGACUCGUUAUGUGCAUCCGGCGAAACCCGUUGCAGGAAUCGUAAAACAGUCACGUCCGACUUUCGGCAAACUGUCGAAUGUCUCGCCGGAGCUUAUGCACACGCGAGAAUAUAUCGUUAUCGCGAAUUGCAAACAUGUAACGCACGGAUCAAGCGAUCCCAAGUACGGGACAGGGCGAAAAUCUAGAAACAACAGAAAUUUCAUAAUGCCGAGUUACGUAAACCUUGUGCGGAUGUCGUAAAGGUGCGACCUGUUCUAGGAAUCCGCGUGAUUAAGCAAAGCAAUUAUUAGCACUUUAGCGGAGGAUACACAAUCUGUGCGAUCUACGGCGAGGGAUAAAUUGCAAUUUCGUCACUUACAUUAGUACCUUGUGCUUGUGCCGUGCUCCCUGUUAAAGUGAAACGCGGGAUGGGACACGGACUCUCGAGUAAUAGAUUACGCACUUAAAAUUUACGGCUUCCUGUGUAAAAAAGAAAAGCGAUCCGCAGUGGAAGUACCGGCUAUGCUACUGAGAACUGAGAUUUGUGCUUAAGGUAGAAGAAAAAUCGUGGCCUCUCGCAGGAAUCUCGCGCUUGAAUCAGUUGUAAUCUACAAAUUCGAACGGUUGUCUCGGUCGCAGCAAAAAGACUCUAAAAUCAUCACAGUAGACAUAAAUAGAUUCAUGCGGAUAAGUAUACGCACGAGAGUACAAAUCAAUACAGUCGGGCAAAUAUUAAUAGUAAUAUAGAUUCGCAAGAAAGCCUUGCUGACAAUAUAAUAAGUUAAAUACAGUCAUGUAGGAAAAUCAGCGUAAGACAGAGUGCGAAAGUUUUAAAAAAUUCCUAUCAAAACCCAAACUCUUAUUGCAGUCAAGAUCGUGCGAUUCUUUCAAUACAUUUUCAAUAUACCGGGAAGACAAAAUAUAAAGUGGAACGCACAUUUAGAACAAUCAAAAGUUCAGAUUUUAUUUAUUUCAUGUCCGCCAAUCUAACAAUUGAAUUUUAACGCUUAAGUGAUCCGUCACCUAGAGAUUAAAAGUUAUAAAUUCUUUUCUACGUUUCACUGAUUUGAUUUAUUUUUGUAAAUUGUUUAUAUAUUUAAUUAUUCGUAUGCAGUUAAGUAACAGUCAAUAUUUGGUAGAGAAACCGUUUGCUUAGUCAUUGAAUCUAUCACCAAACAUCCUAUACCAUACAUUAUACUUACAUUAUUAUGAAACGCACGCCUCAUCACAAGUGUAUAGAGAUUCACAAAAAUUUACGUGACUGCUCGACUGUCAAAAAGAUUUGUUCGCUCGCGAUUAUUUGUGCGACAGUGAUUUCUGCGACACAAGCGCCGCGUUUAAUCGUUUGAAUCGCUAUAAUAAAAUGAAAUAUAAUAAAAUGUGGAUUUUAAUUAAUUGCGCACACAUCGCGCAAUUAGCCUCACGCGUUCAAACAAUGCGCAUUGCGUAACAAUCACUUUGCGAAAUCUCUAUUCGAGGCUGCGCGAUCGGACUCGAAUCCAAUACACGGCGAUUAAGUAUUUACGGAAGACAAGCGGAAUUCGGGUCCGAUGUGCCAUGCAACAUCGAAUCGCUUGUUAAUUAUGUAAGUAACGGCGGUUCGAUUGCCAUCGCGUCACCUGUGGAGUUAUGUCAGAGCUGACCGCCAAUCGCCGAUUUCUAAUCGCAUCUCUAUCCGCGUGCAACGCAGAUUUUUUAUUUAGCUUUGUGUGCAAAUAUGACUAGGGCAUCUAAUAAUAUUGAAAUGUUUGUAAUUACAUAACAAUGCAUAAUGUACAUGCGAAAAAUGUUUGUUUUAUGCUACAAUUGUGAAAAAUUAAUUGAAAAAUAAAGUUUAUAAU